This 235-nucleotide long non-coding RNA is filed under the name Lathyrus oleraceus (garden pea). RNAcentral's name for it is "Pisum sativum (pea) long non-coding RNA (PSAT_LNC029392)". Lineage: Eukaryota; Viridiplantae; Streptophyta; Magnoliopsida; Fabales; Fabaceae. The record is from RNAcentral.
GAUGGGAACUCUCCGCACCGAGCAAACCAGACAAGGUGCGGAAUUAGCCAGACAGGGUGUGGAAUUGUUCCGACAAGGGACAGUCAUGGAUGACAUGCAAGCCAUGAUGCAACGUCUGAUGUUGCAUUUCCCGCACGAUCCUCCGCCUCCUCCACAACAGUAAUCACUGUAAGUCCCCUUUGUGUUUGAAUUUAAACAUUGAGGUCAAUGUUUAGUUCAAGUGUGGGGGGGUUUU